RNAcentral lists this ribosomal RNA (1047 nucleotides) under uncultured Bacteroidales bacterium. RNAcentral describes it as "bacterial SSU rRNA". It matches the Rfam family "Bacterial small subunit ribosomal RNA", at positions 32 to 1087 of the family's 1533-position model. The record is from RNAcentral. Lineage: Bacteria; Pseudomonadati; Bacteroidota; Bacteroidia; Bacteroidales.
AACGCUAGCUACAGGCUUAACACAUGCAAGUCGAGGGGUCCGCUUCGGCAGACGACCGGCGCACGGGUGAGUAACGCGUAUCCAACCUGCCCUUCUCAUUGAGAUAGCCUUUCGAAAGAGAGAUUAAUACCGAAUAACAUAGUUUGAUUGCCUGAUUAUACUAUGAAAGCUCCGGCGGAGAAGGAUGGGGAUGCGUUCCAUUAGGUAGUAGGCGGGGUAACGGCCCACCUAGCCCACGAUGGAUAGGGGUUCUGAGAGGAAGGUCCCCCACACUGGAACUGAGACACGGUCCAGACUCCUACGGGAGGCAGCAGUGAGGAAUAUUGGUCAAUGGACGCAAGUCUGAACCAGCCAAGUAGCGUGAAGGAUGACUGCCCUAUGGGUUGUAAACUUCUUUUGCCGUAGAACAAAACAUGCCACGUGUGGCAUUUUGCGUGUAUACGUUGAAUAAGCAUCGGCUAACUCCGUGCCAGCAGCCGCGGUAAUACGGAGGAUGCGAGCGUUAUCCGGAUUUAUUGGGUUUAAAGGGAGCGUAGGUGGUUUGAUAAGCCAGCUGUGAAAUACUGCCGCUCAACGGCAGCCGUGCAGUUGGAACUGUCAGACUUGAGUGUACGGGAGGAAAGUGGAAUUCGUGGUGUAGCGGUGAAAUGUUUAGAUAUCACGAAGAACUCCGAUUGCGUAGGCAGCUUUCUACAGUACAACUGACACUGAUGCUCGAAAGUGCGGGUAUCGAACAGGAUUAGAUACCCUGGUAGUCCGCACCGUAAACUAUGGAUACUCGCUGCCGGCGAUAGACAGUCGGUGGCCAAGCGAAAGCAUUAAGUAUCCCACCUGGGGAGUACGCCGGCAACGGUGAAACUCAAAGGAAUUGACGGGGGCCCGCACAAGCGGAGGAACAUGUGGUUUAAUUCGAUGAUACGCGAGGAACCUUACCUGGGCUAGAACGGCAGAUUGCUUCUUGGGAGAGACCCCUUGAUUCUUCGGACAAUCUGUUGAGGUGCUGCAUGGUUGUCGUCAGCUCGUGCCGUGAGGUGUCGGCUUAAGUGC